GACGAACGCUGGCGGCGUGCUUAACACAUGCAAGUCGAACGGAAAGGCCCUGCUUUUGUGGGGUGCUCGAGUGGCGAACGGGUGAGUAACACGUGUGUAACCUGCCCUUGACUUUGGGAUAACUUCAGGAAACUGGGGCUAAUACCGGAUAGGAGCUCCUGCUGCAUGGUGGGGGUUGGAAAGUUUCGGCGGUUGGGGAUGGUUUCGCGGCUUAUCAGCUGGUUUGGGGGGUAGUGGCUUACCAAGGCUUUGACGGGUAGCCGGCAUGAGAGGGUGACCGGCCACAUUGGGACUGAGAGACGGCCCAGACUCCUACGGGCGGCAGCAGUGGAGAAUAUAGCACAAUGGGCGGAAGCCUGAUGCAGCAACGUCGCGUGCGGGAUGACGUCCUUCGGGUUGUAAACAGCUUUCGACUGUGACGAAGCGUGAGUGACGGUAAUGGGUAAAGAAGCACCGGCUAACUACGUG
Molecule: ribosomal RNA, 468 nt
Filed under: uncultured bacterium
Lineage: Bacteria
Description: partial 16S ribosomal RNA
Rfam family: Bacterial small subunit ribosomal RNA
Source: RNAcentral